RNAcentral lists this long non-coding RNA (525 nucleotides) under Phascolarctos cinereus (koala). RNAcentral's name for it is "lncRNA (ENSPCIG00000030495.2)". Lineage: Eukaryota; Metazoa; Chordata; Mammalia; Diprotodontia; Phascolarctidae. The record is from RNAcentral.
CUCAGGAGCAGUUAGAAAAAGAUCAUUAAGGCGGACUCCGGCGGUCAUGUCGGCGCUGAGGCGGCUGGGCCCUUUCCUUCGCUAGGGAGGCCAGAGCUUCCUGGCAGGUUCGAGCAAGUGGUCUGCUGGUUGUGACAUCGGAGGAGUCCGGCAUGCUGGAGGUGGUGUACACAUUCAACCCCGCUACUGGCUUGUUCCAAGCUGAGCUGUUUAGUGCUACAAUGUGGUUUUGGAUUCUUUGGCGUUUUGGGCAUGACUCAGAUGCUGUACUGAGUCAUUUUCCACAUCCAGAUCCUUCUCAAUGGACAGAUGAAGAAUUGGGUAUUCCCCCUGAUGAUGAAGACUAAAGCAAUGUCAUCACUACUACAAGGGCCAUUAAGAAUUUGGAGCAACCAACCACUCAAACGGUUUCUUAUUCUAACAAAAGAGACUCAGGGUGAUAUAUUCAAGACUGAGCAAUCUAAUCCUUCCACUGAUGCUCCUACAUGUCCAGCAAUAGCAUUUACACUUCCAAAAUGGUGCUGA